Molecule: ribosomal RNA, 112 nt
Filed under: Cronobacter sakazakii
Lineage: Bacteria; Pseudomonadati; Pseudomonadota; Gammaproteobacteria; Enterobacterales; Enterobacteriaceae
Also listed under: 1 other name
Source: RNAcentral
UGGCGGCUGUAGCGCGGUGGUCCCACCUGACCCCAUGCCGAACUCAGAAGUGAAACGCCGUAGCGCCGAUGGUAGUGUGGGGCCUCCCCAUGCGAGAGUAGGGAACUGCCAG